UACGUAGGGGCAAGCGUUGUCCGGAUUAUUGGGCGUAAAGAGCGUGUAGGGCGGCCAGACAGGUCCGUUGUGAAAACUCGAGGCUCAACCUCGAGACGGCCGAUGGAAACCGUCUGGCUAGAGUCCGGAAGAGGAGAGUGGAAUUCCCGGUGGUGAGAGGUGAAAUUCGUAGAUAUCGGGAGGAACACCAGUGGCGAAGGCGGCUCUCC
Molecule: ribosomal RNA, 209 nt
Filed under: uncultured bacterium
Lineage: Bacteria
Description: partial 16S ribosomal RNA
Rfam family: Bacterial small subunit ribosomal RNA
Source: RNAcentral